CACGUAGGCGGAUUGUUAAGUCGGGGGUGAAAUCCCGGGGCUCAACCCCGGAACUGCCUUCGAUACUGGCAAUCUAGAGUUCUGGAGAGGUGAGUGGAAUUCCGAGUGUAGAGGUGAAAUUCGUAGAUAUUCGGAGGAACACCAGUGGCGAAGGCGGCUCACUGGCCAGACACUGACGCUGAGGUGCGAAAGCGUGGGGAGCAAACA
This 207-nucleotide ribosomal RNA is filed under the name uncultured bacterium. Its description in RNAcentral is "partial 16S ribosomal RNA". It matches the Rfam family "Bacterial small subunit ribosomal RNA", at positions 568 to 774 of the family's 1533-position model. The record is from RNAcentral.